This is a long non-coding RNA of Amphimedon queenslandica, 168 nucleotides long. RefSeq lists it as uncharacterized. The transcript has 2 exons. NCBI's taxonomy places the organism in Eukaryota, Metazoa, Porifera, Demospongiae, Haplosclerida, Niphatidae. The record is from RefSeq and is a predicted model, not a curated record.
UAUUGGACCAGGAGAAUGGAUUGAUAGAGAAUAUGCUACUGCUCAAAUUUUUGCAAUUGUAAGUCAAUACUUUUCUAUAAUAAAGUUCAGUUCUACAGCAGUGAUAGCUGUGUGGAGUUCAGUUCCUGGAGCUAGUCAUUAUACUGUCUAUUAUGAGUCAACCAGUAG